Molecule: ribosomal RNA, 468 nt
Filed under: uncultured bacterium
Lineage: Bacteria
Description: partial 16S ribosomal RNA
Rfam family: Bacterial small subunit ribosomal RNA
Source: RNAcentral
GACGAACGCUGGCGGCGUGCUUAACACAUGCAAGUCGAACGGAAAGCCCUUGAAUCUUUCGUGUGUCCGACUGGGGAACGAGCGGGUGAGUCAUGCGUAAUCAGCCUGCCCUUCUGGGGGAACCACCGGUAACUGGGGCUUGCUCCUGCCGCAUGCUCUCUCUGCUUGGCGUCGGUUGGAAAUUAACGGCGGCUGGGGAUGGUAUCGCGGCACAUCAGCUUGUGGGUGGGGUAGUGGCUCACCAUGGCUUUGUCGGGUAGCCGGACUGAGAGGGUGACAGGCCACAUUGGGACUGAGAUACGAGCAAGACUGCUACGGGAGGAAGCGGUGGGAAAUAGUGCACGAUGGGCGGAGGCCUGAAGGAGCGACGCCGCGUGCGGGAGGACGGCCUUCGGGUUGGAAACCGCUUUCGCCUGUGACGAAGAGUGAGUGACGGUAAUGGGUAAAGAAGCACCGGCUAACUACGUG